This is a long non-coding RNA of Phragmites australis (common reed), 245 nucleotides long. RefSeq lists it as uncharacterized. The transcript is spliced from 2 exons. NCBI's taxonomy places the organism in Eukaryota, Viridiplantae, Streptophyta, Magnoliopsida, Poales, Poaceae. The record is from RefSeq and is a predicted model, not a curated record.
AGCCCUUGAAAUUGACACUCCAACAAUUCUGCAAGCAAAACGAAACCUUGAUUCUGUUUCUGCCUCAAUCCCUGCUCCUAUUCACCCAAUGAAUAAGAAGUUCAAACCAGUCCACAGAAACACUCAAUACACGAAUUUGUUUGAACCCAAUAAUUUAUUUCAAUUAUUGGUUCCUGAAGAUGAAUGUUGCAACAAUAAUUCUACCAAUGACAACAGUAACAUUCAAAUUCACAAUAGUUCUUCCC